UACAUGGGGUGCAAACGUUGCUCGGAAUUAUUGGGCGUAAAGCGCACGUAGGCGGUUCGUUAAGUCGGAUGUGAAAGCCCUCGGCUCAACUGAGGAAGUGCACCCGAAACUGGCGAGCUUGAGUACGAAAGAGGAUCGCGGAAUUCCCGGUGUAGAGGUGAAAUUCGUAGAUAUCGGGAGGAACACCGAUGGCGAAGGCAGGUCUCUGGGCAUUAACUGACGCUGAGGAGCGAAAGCAUGGGGAGCGAACAGG
This 253-nucleotide ribosomal RNA is filed under the name uncultured bacterium. RNAcentral's name for it is "partial 16S ribosomal RNA". It matches the Rfam family "Bacterial small subunit ribosomal RNA", at positions 524 to 776 of the family's 1533-position model. The record is from RNAcentral.